CCUACGGGUGGCAGCAGUGGGGAAUAUUGGGCAAUGGGCGCAAGCCUGACCCAGCAACGCCGCGUGAAGGAAGAAGGCUUUCGGGUUGUAAACUUCUUUUGUCAGGGACGAAGCACGUGACGGUCCCUGACGACUAAGCCACGGCUAACUACGUGCCAGCAGCCGCGGUACUACGUAGGUGGCAAGCGUUAUCCGGAUUUACUGGGUGUAAAGGGCGUGUAGGCGGGGAAGUAAGUCAGAUGUGAAAACCACGGGCUCAACCUGUGGCCUGCAUUUGAAACUGUUGUUCUUGAGUGCUGGAGAGGCAAUCGGAAUUCCGUGUGUAGCGGUGAAAUGCGUAGAUAUACGGAGGAACACCAGUGGCGAAGGCGGAUUGCUGGACAGUAACUGACGCUGAGGCGCGAAAGCGUGGGGAGCAAACAGGAUUAGAUACCCCUGUAGUC
Molecule: ribosomal RNA, 443 nt
Filed under: uncultured bacterium
Lineage: Bacteria
Description: partial 16S ribosomal RNA
Rfam family: Bacterial small subunit ribosomal RNA
Source: RNAcentral